UUUCAGGUGCAUGACACAGUGAUUUGGAAAUUCUGUCCUUUGCUCAGUGCUCACCUCACAUAAUGUAGGUUUUUUCAUCUCUAUUCUGUAAUGUAAAAAGAGGUAAGUGAGAAGGAAUAGUAACCUUGUGCUUCUAGGUGUUGUCAUCUCUGCAUCAUGUUUGGAUCUAUGGCAGCCUCUUUGGGACUAUGAGGGGAGUCAUCCCAAGUCAAUAUCAUAAGGAUGGUGGAGUAGAAAGAA
Molecule: long non-coding RNA, 240 nt
Organism: Lutra lutra (Eurasian river otter)
Lineage: Eukaryota; Metazoa; Chordata; Mammalia; Carnivora; Mustelidae
Exons: 2
Source: RefSeq, a predicted model, not a curated record